CGUAGGGGGCAAGCGUUAUCCGGAAUUAUUGGGCGUAAAGAGUGCGUAGGUGGUUUUGUAAGCGCGAGGUGAAAGGCAAUAGCUCAACUAUUGUAAGCCUUGUGAACUGCAAGACUUGAGUGCAGGAGAGGAAAGUGGAAUUCCUAGUGUAGCGGUGAAAUGCGCAGAUAUUAGGAGGAACACCAGUGGCGAAGGCGACUUUCUGGACUGUAACUGACACUGAGGCACGAAAGCGUGGGGAGCAAACAGGAUUAGAUACCCUGGUAGUCCACGCCGUAAACGAUGAGCACUAGGUGUCGGGGCCGCAAGGUUUCGGUGCCGCAGUUAACGCAUUAAGUGCUCCGCCUGGGGAGUACGCACGCAAGUGUG
Molecule: ribosomal RNA, 369 nt
Filed under: uncultured organism
Description: bacterial SSU rRNA
Rfam family: Bacterial small subunit ribosomal RNA
Source: RNAcentral